RNAcentral lists this long non-coding RNA (2477 nucleotides) under Salmo salar (Atlantic salmon). RNAcentral describes it as "lncRNA (ENSSSAG00000108223.1)". Lineage: Eukaryota; Metazoa; Chordata; Actinopteri; Salmoniformes; Salmonidae. The record is from RNAcentral.
ACCUAUACAACUAAACACAACAUUACCAACCUGCUACAACAUUACCAACCUGCUACAAGUAAACACAACAUUACCAACCUGCACAACUCAACACAACAUUACCAACCUGCACAACUCAACACAACAUUAUCAACCUGCUACAACAUUAUCAACCUAUACAACUAAACACAACAUUAUCAACCUGCUACAACAUUAUCAACCUAUACAACUAAACACAACAUUACCAACCUGCUACAACUCAACACAACAUUAUCAACCUAUACAACUAAACACAACAUUAUCAACCUGCUACAACAUUAUCAACCUAUACAACUAAACACAACAUUAUCAACCUGCUACAACAUUAUCAACCUAUACAACUAAACACAACAUUACCAACCUGCUACAACUCAACACAACAUUACCAACCUGCUACAACUAAAUACAACAUUAUCAACCUGCUACAACAUUAUCAACCUGUACAACUAAACACAACAUUAUCGACCUGCUACAACUAAACACAACAUUAUCGACCUGCUACAACUAAACACAACAUUACAACCUGCUACAACUAAACACAACAUUAUCGACCUGCUACAACUAAACACAACAUUAUCGACCUGCUACACAGAGAGGAACCAAGCAUAAAUGUAUUUUUCCAUUGAUUGAAAAUAGCUGUCACUGCAGGGGGAUGUUUGUAGCCAUCUUUUCAUUUUAUUUUCUCCUUCAUGUGGGAACAUCUAUAAUAUUAGACCCAUCUCUUUAUUCUCUUGAAUGACUUGUACAGACCAGGGUCUGUACCGACCCCGAGCUGGACUGAGGAGGUUUUAUACAGACCAGGGUCUGUACCGACCCCGAGCUGGACUGAGGAGGUUUUAUACAGACCAGGGUCUGUACCGACCCAGAGCUGGACUGAGGAGGUUUUAUACAGACCAGGGUCUGUACCGACCCAGAGCUGGACUGAGGAGGUUUUAUACAGACCAGGGUCUGUGAUCAACCAAGAUGGACUGAGGAGGUUUUAUACAGACCAGGAUCUGUACCGACCCAGAACUGAACUGAGGAGGUUUUAUACAGACCAGGGUCUGUACCGACCCAGAGCUGGACUGAGGAGGUUUUAUACAGACCAGGGUCUGUACCGACCCAGAGCUGGACUGAGGAGGUUUUAUACAGACCAGGGUCUGUGAUCAACCAAGAUGGACUGAGGAGGUUUUAUACAGAUCAGGGUCUGGACUGAGGAGGUUUUAUACAGACCAGGGUCUGUACCGACCCAGAACUGGACUGAGGAGGUUUUAUACAGACCAGGGUCUGUACCGACCCAGAACUGGACUGAGGAGGUUUUAUACAGACCAGGGUCUGUACCGACCCCGAGCUGCACUGAGGAGGUUUUAUACAGACCAGGGUCUGUACCGACCCCGAGCUGGACUGAGGAGGUUUUAUACAGACCAGGGUCUGUAUCGACCCCGAGCUGGACUGAGGAGGUUUUAUACAGACCAGGGUCUGUACCGAGCUGGACUGAGGAGGUUUUAUACAGACCAGGGUCUGUAUCGACCCAGAGCUGGACUGAGGGGUUUUAUACAGACCAGGGUCUGUACCGAGCUGGACUGAGGAGGUUUUAUACAGACCAGGAUCUGUACCGACCCAGAACUGGACUGAGGAGGUUUUAUACAGACCAGGGUCUGUAUCGACCCAGAGCUGGACUGAGGAGGUUUUAUACAGACCAGGGUCUGUACCGACCCAGAACUGGACUGAGGAGGUUUUAUACAGACCAGGGUCUGUACCGACCCAGAGCUGGACUGAGGAGGUUUUAUACAGACAGGGUCUGUGAUCAACCAAGAUGGACUGAGGAGGUUUUAUACAGACCAGGAUCUGUACCGAGCUGGACUGAGGAGGUUUUAUACAGACCAGGGUCUGUAUCGACCCAGAGCUGGACUGAGGGGUUUUAUACAGACCAGGGUCUGUACCGACCCAGAGCUGGACUGAGGAGGUUUUAUACAGACCAGGGUCUGUAUCGACCCCGAGCUGGACUGAGGAGGAUUUAUACAGACCAGGGUCUGUACCGAGCUGGACUGAGGGGUUUUAUACAGACCAGGGUCUGUACCGAGCUGGACUGAGGAGGUUUUAUACAGAACAGGGUCUGUACCGACCCAGAGCUGGACUGAGGAGGUUUUAUACAGACCAGGGUCUGUACCGAGCUGGACUGAGGAGGUUUUAUACAGACCAGGGUCUGUACCGACCCAGAGCUGGACUGAGGAGGUUUUAUACAGACCAGGGUCUGUAUCGACCCCGAGCUGGACUGAGGAGGUUUUAUACAGACCAGGGUCUGUACCGAGCUGGACUGAGGGGUUUUAUACAGACCAGGGUCUGUACCGACCCAGAGCUGGACUGAGGAGGUUCUAUACCUGGUCUGUGUUCAACCAAGAUGGAAGAGGAACGACUCAAACAUCCGAAUCUUAGUGCCAAGGUUACCGUGGAAACAGAGGAGGGGAACUGAUUUGUCU